This 402-nucleotide ribosomal RNA is filed under the name uncultured bacterium. RNAcentral's name for it is "bacterial SSU rRNA". It matches the Rfam family "Bacterial small subunit ribosomal RNA", at positions 358 to 774 of the family's 1533-position model. The record is from RNAcentral.
GGGAUAUUGCGCAAUGGGGGAAACCCUGACGCAGCAACGCCGCGUGCAGGAAGACGGCCUUCGGGUUGUAAACUGUUGUCGCAAGGGAAGAAGAAAGUGACGGUACCUUGUGAGAAAGCCACGGCUAACUACGUGCCAGCAGCCGCGGUAAUACGUAGGUGGCAAGCGUUGUCCGGAUUUACUGGGUGUAAAGGGCGCGUAGGCGGGCUUUCAAGUCAGAUGUGAAAUACCGAGGCUUAACCUCGGGGCUGCAUUUGAAACUGUUAGUCUUGAGUAUCGGAGAGGAAAGCGGAAUUCCUAGUGUAGCGGUGAAAUGCGUAGAUAUUAGGAGGAACACCAGUGGCGAAGGCGGCUUUCUGGACGACAACUGACGCUGAGGCGCGAAAGUGUGGGGAGCAAACA